Peromyscus eremicus (cactus mouse) is the source of this 1449-nucleotide long non-coding RNA. RefSeq lists it as uncharacterized. The record is from RefSeq and is a predicted model, not a curated record. Lineage: Eukaryota; Metazoa; Chordata; Mammalia; Rodentia; Cricetidae. The transcript has 3 exons.
ACACGGAGAAUAAAAUGGCCUCCUCGAGGAACCAGUGUGAGGAGCAGAAUGGAAUAAUCCAGACCACCUUAGAACAAAUGUCAUGCCUGCUGAUACCUUCUGUAUAGCCCUGAAGCAAUUUCAAGAACGGGAGUAGGGCUCCUCUUUGAUACCCAAAGCAAAACACCAAGAAAGAAGAGUACGGAGCCACUGGUGUCUCCUUCUCCGAGGACCACCCCCCAGUGGUGAAGAGAAUGAUAAUCACUGUCUCCCUAUGCUUCCUGCUUGGUGGACAUAAGAUAUCGGAUGGCAUGAACAGAUCCUGGUUCUAUGGCCUGGUUUCUGCCUGCCGGGAGAGAUCCAAGUGGCCCACCUUGGGGAGGGCAAGGAAUUAUCUUCAUAGUGUAUGGAUGGACACCCAAGCUCGUCUCCCUGGGAGCUGUUGUGUAUGACUUCCAGUUGUCCCCUCCUAGGGUGUGGCUGUGCAGUCUUCCUAGCAAAAUUGAUCUUUGUCAAUGCUCUGCGAUUUCUCUCCCUACCCACCUCUUCUUUUCCUUUGGGGACCGCAGUGCCUGCCCUGGUUGGCUCUUACGAGUCAGUUCUACCUAUUUUGGUCAAACUCCACUCCAGUUUGGUCCUUUUCCAAGACAAAUGCAAAAGCCACGGGGGGCUGGAGAAUUGCCCGGGCAGAGAAUUGUCCAACAGAAGUUCAAUUAAUUUCUCAGGUUGCUGUCAGGGCCUUGUGCAGCCAAGCCUAGCAGGGACCCUGGCUGGCCUUCUGGGUAGACAUUAAGGAUGUUGGAGGGUCUCUACUUGUGCCUUUCGAUGUGAGGACCAAUCCCAGACUCCAUCACCAUCACAAACACAAUGAGGGCAAAGCUUUGGCGUUCUUCAAUUUAAGAGUCAGAAGGAAAGCGAAGUGGAGAGAGCCGGAGCAGCAAGCAAAGAUGUGGAGGAGAGCCGAAGCUGAGCACACAAACUACACAGCAAAGACAGCUUCAUCCAGGGCGGCCCUGGUCACCCCUCUGAGUCUGACCAUCUUCAGAUUUCUGCACAUCCCAUUCCCCUCCAUCCACAGUAGCCACGGGAUUUUUAUGUAACAUGGACAAUGGGCAGGUGCAGCCUGAAGACCUGUUCCAAGCCUCAUUUCCCUAUGCUACAUCUCACCAUGUGUUCAAGGCCAGGGAACUGUGCUCAGUGGCUGCUCGUGUCCGUAUAAUUGUCUCCAAAUUGCUCCAAGUGGCCUUUCUAGGCAGGAGCUCUUCACAAUUAGCCCUCUUGUGGAGAUGUUGAGAGGAGACACACCUCUGAGCAUGGCUGUGAUCGUGUUUCCGGGGAGGAUUUUCUAAGGAGGAAGGACCGACUCUGACUGGGGACAGCACCAGUCCGUAGACUGAAUCAAGAGGGGACGCCGGCUGAGCACCAGCACUCAUCUCUCUCUGCUUCUCGCUCUGCUCAGGUGUGAGAAAG